RNAcentral lists this long non-coding RNA (10847 nucleotides) under Arabidopsis lyrata. Its description in RNAcentral is "long non-coding RNA (ALYR_LNC003117)". The record is from RNAcentral. Lineage: Eukaryota; Viridiplantae; Streptophyta; Magnoliopsida; Brassicales; Brassicaceae.
UGGUCGAGGUGGUUUAUAACAGUGAAACAGAGCCCACGAAUAACUCCAGCAUAAUCAAACACAGACAGAGACUCAUCAACAACAAUGUCUACUACAAUAUAUGUUGAGAAUUAGUAAAGAAGAACACAACAUAUGAAGAAGCUUGAGGAAGAAGUAAUGCCAGCAAUGCAAUGAGACACGUCAGACGCAGGACCACAAGACUCAAGUAGCCGUUUGCGCUUGGUCACUAAAGCAAACGUUUGAAUGGCUAAAGCAACUCUUGUCUGGUUGUGGUAAAGUUACUCGCAGGAUAAGCUCUACCCAUUUGGAGCUAGAAGACAAAUGUGAGAGGCAACUUCCUGGAAGCUGCAAAGGAGCGUCUUGAGGACUCAACGGGAAGGAUCCAGAAGGAACCUAGUGAUAUGUUGUGUUUUUAUCGGUUUUGAGUCUUUGUUUUUUUUCCUAGAUCAUAUAUUUUAUAGAGUCAAAGUUUGUUUUUUAGAGUCUUUUAGUCCUUUAUCGAUUCUUUACAGGUUUUAGGUUGCUUUGGAGGAAAACGAGAUGUUUUGGGAUAAAAACACACAUUUGGAGAUGCAGUGUCGGUUAGAAGUAUCAAACGUUUGGCCUCCGAUGGAAGACUUACCACCGUUAGAUCUUUCUGAAAUUUUGACAAAAGCUAUAUGCAGAUGUUAGCUUGAGGUUCCAUGUGAUUUGAAGGAAAUCUAACGGUGCAUUCAAUAGUUAUACCCGAAUUAGUGAAGACAGGUCAUUCUGGCGAGCAUUUGAAGCAGUUGCAGAGCUGAAGACCAGAAGCUCCAGAUCGAUCGAUCCCUUGGUGGAUCGAUCGAUCCACUUCCCCGGCAACGGCGCCAACUUGAUUGCUCGAGUAAUCAAGUUGGCGCCGUUGCCGGGGACCAAUUGCGUUACCUAAGGAUUUAGGAUUAGUUUUUAGUCUAAAGCAUUUUUUUUUUUUAUUACUAACUAUCACACUCGUUUUUCUUUUAGGUGUUGGCUAUGGAAUAUAAUGAUUGGCUACAAGAAGAAGAGGAUGAGCCAUAUGUGGAGCCACCAUUUGAUGAGAGUGUUCUUACACCGGAACAAAAAGUGAAGUUGGAUGAACUUCACAACGAACAUCCGACAUUGGUAAGGAGUGAUUUAGCGAUUUUGAUCCGGUUGAACCUCUUAUCACACCGAGCAUCCUGUGAAGGAAGAGAAAUCACAUUCUAUGAAGAACAAGAAGCCCAUGCUCUUGAAAAGGUAAUAUAUUGGGUUCCACCAAGCGAACUAGAAGGUACAUGCAAUUCAACCCUUGAAAUUUAUGAUGUUGAGGAUAUUCAGAUACCAUGCAUUGAAGAUGUGACUUCUAGUUUGCAUACUCCCAUGAUCAUUGAUGAAUGUUAUGAUUUGAUAUGUGAGUCGCAACAACUAGAUGCUUUAAGAGCAGCAAAACUUGCUAGGGAUUACCAUGAUAUAUGUUUUAAUAUUGAAUAUCAUUGUGCUUUGAAUGUUCAUGAUCUCGAGUUUAAGUUUUCAAUGCCUGAAAUAUCUAGAUCUCUUCUUGAUGAAUCUUUCCUAGGAGUUGUGCUUGAUAUUGAUAAGAUUUUGCAUGUGAAUGAAGAUCUUGAGGUUGAUUAUAUGGAUGUAGAUAUUGUGCUAUAUGAGAUUAAUGGGGAUGAAGUUGAUUAUUUUGUUCAAACCUCAUGUAACCAGGAAAUUGACUUCAUUUUUCCUCCAAAUGCAUUUGAUCCUCAUGAGCAUUCAACCAUCAAGGAAUAUUUCAAAGUAUAUGCUACAUUUGUAGUAAUUUUUCUUGAUAUGAAUUUUAUCUCUUUACCAUGGAUAAUUGUGUGUUACUUGGCACAUCUCAUUUCUUUCACUAACAGGAGAAGGACAAAAGGUCCACUGGCACAACCUUUUGAUUCUUAUGAUUAAUAUUUUGUGUUGAGCGGUCAAGCUGACGACCUAAAACAAGCGCUUGGUGGGAGGCAACCCAUAAUGUAUCCCAAGUAAGUUUUCUCUUUUUCUUUUUCGCAUUUUCAUUUUUUUUUCUUUUGAGUGUGUAUGGCAUCAUUUCUUCGAAUUAUUUUCACACCGAGUCGGUGUGAAGCAAGUCGGGGGGAGGUUGUCAUUUGUCUACUAAUCGAGUUUGCUUUGGUUGUUUCUUUUGAUGUUUUCGUUUGAGUCAGUCAGUUCGUUUUUAUCGAGUCAAAAAUUGUGUCUUUUAUUGAGUCAAAAUCUGUUUGAGAAUAUGAUCUUUUCUUGGGGAAUUGCACCUAGCUUGAUUUCAUUGCCUUGAGACCAUUUUAGCAUUAUUCGAUAACUUGGAAGUUCAGGAAAAUCCAUGACUAGAUCACUCUAUAGUAGUCCCUAUCUCUUUGAAAUUCGGAUGAAUUGAGCUUUAUCUUAUAUACUUGAACUUAAUCUGGACUUAAUUUAUCUCACUUAGGGGCUUGAGAAUCAUGUAAUGGAUCAUACAUUCAGAGUUUUGUUUGCAUCAUUUUUACCACUCUUUGCUAACUCUGAAUGGCUAGACUCAUUUUUAGUCUAGUACCACACCUGUUUCCCCACCCAUUGUUUGAAACCUCAUGCAUUCUUAUAUGAUCAUCAUGAUAUACAUCCAUGUGCGAAAACUACGGAGUAUACGGACCGACAUAGCUUUCCUUCUGUUAGGAUAGUGAGUUGUAGUUUACUGGUUGCUGAUAUAUGAUGAGAUUGAUCCACUAUGGUUUAGAGGUUGUAUUCAUGGGAUAUGUUGUUAUCGCUUGCGGUUUUUCUUGAUGCAGAUUAUGUGAGACACCGGUUCCACUCCCCCGUUCAAAAAAAAAAAAAAAAAAAAAAAGAAAAAAGAAAGAAAGAAAAAAACGGAAAUGAAAAGAAUAAUGGGAAAGGAGAAUGAAUGGAACCGAAAAUGUCGAGUUGAUAUUAGUUACGUUGAUAAGCAUCAAGGGUACGCAUUGAUUUGAUUGAGGUAGUGUGUUGGUUGAUUUGAUCCGAGCUUAAGGGAAGCUAUGUACCUCCUAGUUGGUCUGUGUCUCACUGUGAUUUCGCAUAAUGACAUGCAUCCGUUUUACACUGUUUGAGAACCAGAAACACUUGAGCCACCGAAUAUUAGCCUUUUUUUUACCAAGCCCAUAACGUGUUUGAUACCCCCUUUGUGAGAGUACACGCCGCUGCUAAUGAAUGUUAAAAAGUUAAGUUAUCUGACUCUGAAAGUUCUUUUAGAUCUCGGGACUUAAUUUUGUUGCUAUGGUUAUGGCGAAGUACAGUCUAGUACGGUUUCAUGAGUUUUGUGAUAGUGGUUUGCAGGCAAUUGAUAAGAGCAUGAUCCCAAAGAAAAUGUGAGUUCUUGUGUUUUCAAACCUCUUCUCUUGAUAAGGAUUUCUGCUUUCCUUGAGGACAAGCAAAGAUCUAAGUCGGGGGGAGUUGAUAUGUUGUGUUUUUAUCGGUUUUGAGUCUUUGUUUUUUUUCCUAGAUCAUAUAUUUUAUAGAGUCAAAGUUUGUUUUUUAGAGUCUUUUAGUCCUUUAUCGAUUCUUUACAGGUUUUAGGUUGCUUUGGAGGAAAACGAGAUGUUUUGGGAUAAAAACACACAUUUGGAGAUGCAGUGUCGGUUAGAAGUAUCAAACGUUUGGCCUCCGAUGGAAGACUUACCACCGUUAGAUCUUUCUGAAAUUUUGACAAAAGCUAUAUGCAGAUGUUAGCUUGAGGUUCCAUGUGAUUUGAAGGAAAUCUAACGGUGCAUUCAAUAGUUAUACCCGAAUUAGUGAAGACAGGUCAUUCUGGCGAGCAUUUGAAGCAGUUGCAGAGCUGAAGACCAGAAGCUCCAGAUCGAUCGAUCCCUUGGUGGAUCGAUCGAUCCACUUCCCUGACGGAUGAGAAACGUUCCAGACACUGCUGGAUCGAUCGAUCCUCCUUUGGAUCGAUCGAUCCCUUCCCCAGACGUAUUUUUGGCCCAGAUUUGACCCGAGUCACUCCAGAUCCGACCCGGCUCGUCUCCUAUUGUUUUAAAACCCUAAGCCCGACUUUUGAGACAUUAUCCUUGAUAUUUUUCAGUUCUAAACUUUGUUCUUUGGUUUGUAAACAAUUUUGGGCAAAGGAAUUCAUCCUCUUGACACUUGGAGAAGAUUUCUAAACCCUAUCUUGUUAUUUCUACAAUUUCAUCAUGUUUUCUUCAUUGAUUUUUGUUAUCUCUUUUUCUAUGUGUGAGUAGUUCUCCUAUUGGGUUUUAGGGUUCUAAUUAGGGGAUUCAAUGGAUUGAUGGAUUGAUUGUUGUUUGGAAUUCUCAUUCUAUAGGUUUUUUGAUUCACAUGUUCUUAAUGCUAUAAUAGAAUUGAUCACCCUGUUGUAGAUUCUAGGUUUUUCUAUGCAUCAAAAGUGUUCGAUAGAAUGCCUGAAAGAAUGUGAAUUGAGCAAUGUAUUUCUAGCCAACGAAAGUUGACGUUAGGACGCAUUGUGAACUUAAUGAACUUGUUUGAUAAUGCGAAUUUGACUAGGAAAUUACAUGCGAAAGUUUAGUAAUCGAGUAGUCAAAUUUAGUGAUUAAUGUCUUGAAAGAGAAUUAGUCUAAAUGUGUUCAUGUUCAACAACGGUGCUUAAUCAUUGAAUUCCUUGUCUCAUGUUUCCAUUAUUCGUUGAUCUCUGAAAUACCCUAAUGCCCAAUGUCUUUAAUUCAUAAGUUUAAUCGUUUAAAUUACUUGCAUUUUUACUUAUAACUCUGAAAACCCAAACAAAACAAAUCUUUCCGCUUUAGCUCAGAACGAGUCUCGGAAGUCUUUAGUGUACCAUUGGUUCUUGUGGAUCGACCCCGUAUAUACUACCUUGCGGUUAAGUGUAUCGGGUAAUUACUCGAGCAAUCACCUAGGUUAAGUUCUCUAUGUCUAUUUAAGCUGAGCAUUGGAGAGAGAGAGAGAGAGAGGGUUAAGAAACGCAGAGACAUUCAAAUGGGAGUAAACUUGUAUUGAGUGUUCUUGGCGAAACAGAGAGUGAAAGAGAGUGAAUCUGAGUUAGCUUUGUAAAGGGCUGUGAGGGUGAGAAAUCUCUUUGUAAAUCUCAAAGGUUAUAGUGGAUUCUGGGAAAGAUUUCCCGGCCCAGACGUAGCACCGUUGGUGUGAACUGGGUUAACAAUCUCGUGUGUGUGCUCUGUUUUUCGUGUUAGCAAAGUUCUUCCAUUUAUUCUAAACACUCAAAGCUCUGUUCUUUUCAAGUUCUGAUUCUAAACGAAGGUAAAAUUCAUUACAAGCCUUGGUAGAAGUUGGUCUAAACUUCACAAAGUGGUAUCAGAGCGUUGGUUCUUUGUAUUGGCGGUUCUGUAAGGAUCUUACAAAACAAAGAAGCCAUGUCGUCGACAAAGGUUAAAAUUGAGAAGUUCGAUGGACGUGGAGACUACACACUAUGGAAGGAGAAGCUCAUGGCUCACAUGGAUCUAUUGGGUCUAACAGUAGAUCUCAGGGAAACACAGGUGGUCUCAGAUCCAAAGGAGUUAGAAGAGGAAGGGAAAGAACCAGAAAAAGGAGAGAAAGAAGAUCUGAUGGAGGAAAAGAGACAGAAAGCAAGGAGCACCAUUGUUUUAAGCGUCUGAGAUCAGGUGUUGAGGAAGAUCAAGAAAGAGAAGACUGCAGCUUCUAUGUUGAAUGCCUUAGACAAACUGUACAUGUCCAAGGCUCUUCCAAACCGCAUUUAUCUUAAACAAAAGUUAUAUAGCUUCAAGAUGCAGGAGAACUUAUCUGUUGAAGGAAACAUAGACGAGUUCUUGCGUCUUAUUGCUGAUCUUGAAAACACAAACGUGUUAAUCUCUGAUGAAGAUCAAGCCAUCCUGCUACUGAUGUCAUUACCAAAGCAGUUUGAUCAACUGAAAGAUACUCUGGAGUAUACCUCAGGAAGAGCAACAUUGUCUGUUGAUGAAGUUGUAGCAGCUAUAUACUCAAAGGAGCUGGAGCUCGGCUCAAACAAGAAGAGUAUACGGGGACAAGCAGAGGGUCUGUAUGUCAAGGAGAAAAAUGAGACAAGAGGCAGACCAGAGCGGAGAGAAAAAGGCAACAGGAACAACCGAUCAAGAUCAAGAUCUAAAGAGAAAAAAAAGUGUUGUUGGAUUUGUGGAGAGGAAGGUCAUUUCAAGACCUCAUGCCCUAACAAGGAAAAAUCACAAGUCAAAGGGAAAGACCAAGCCAGUAGUAGCAAAGGAGAGGCUGCAACGGUAAAGGGAAGUUCAUCGGAUGCAGUAGCACAUUAUGUGUUAGAAGCACUCCAUUCAACAGAUGUAAAUCUUGAGAAUGAGUAGAUCAUGGACACUGGAUGUAGUUACCACAUGACUCACAAGAAGGAAUGGUUUGAGUAUCUGAGUGAUGAAGCAGUAGGCUCUGUAAGGAUGGGAAACAAGACUACCUCAAAAGUCAAAGGCAUUGGAAAUGUCAGGAUCAGAAACAGAGAUGGCUCAACUGUGGUGCUCACUCAUGUAAGGUACAUUCCUGACAUGGAUCGUAAUUUACUUUCUAUGGGAACCUUGGAGGAACAAGGAUGCAGUUUUGAGUCUAAUAAUAGAGUCUUAGUAAUUAAGGAAGGAAAUAGGACUCUAUUUGUUGGUAACAGGCAUGAAAAGCUUUACUUACUUCAGGGUAGACCAGAGAAUGGUCAUUUGUUGAAUGAUGAAAGAAAGAAUGAUGACACAGUCUUAUGGCACAUAAGACUAGGACAUAUUAGUCAGAAGAAUAUGGAUAUUUUGGUCAAGAAAGGGUACCUAGACCGAAAGAAAGUCUCAAGAUUUGAGAUGUGUGAAGACUGCAUCUAUGGUAAAGCAAGAAGAUUGAGUUUUGUUAUGGCUACACAUGGUACAGAAGAUAAGUUAGACUACGUUCACUCUGACUUAUGGGGAGCUCCAUCGGUUCCGUUAUCCUUGGGAAAAUGUCAGUACUUCAUCUCAUUCAUAGAUGACUACUCAAGAAAGGUGUAGGUGUAUUUUCUCAAGCACAAGGAUGAAGCUUUUGGUACCUUUGCUGAAUGGUGUGUCAUGGUAGAAAACCAAACAGAGAGGAAGAUUAAAAUUCUAAGAACCGACAAUGGACUUGAAUUUUGCAAUCUUCAGUUCAGUGAGUUCUGCAAAGAGAGAGGCAUUGUCAGACAUAGAACAUGUGCCUAUACGCCUCAACAAAACGGCGUUGCAGAAAGGAUGAAUCGCACAAUAAUGGAGAAAGUCAGGAGCAUGCUGAGUGAUUCUGGCUUACCAAAGACGUUUUGGGCUGAAGCUACAAGCACAGCAGUAACCCUCAUCAAUAAGACACCCUCAUCUGCAAUUAACUUUGAGAUCCCUGACAAGAAAUGGUCAGGUAAGCCUCCUGUCUAUAGCUAUCUAAAAAGAUUUGGCUGUGUUGCUUUUGUUCAUGCAGAUGAAGGCAAGUUGGUCCCUAGAGCAAAGAAAGGAGUUUUCUUAGGCUAUCCUACAGGAGUAAAAGGGUACAAAGUCUGGUUAAUGGAGGAGAAGAAGUGUAGUGUCAGCAGAAAUGUAGCAUUUCAAGAAAAUGCAGUCUACAAGGAUUUAAUUCAGAUGAAUAAAGACUCUGAUCAAGAACAAGAAGAAAUAUCAAGUGGGUCUCUAGACAUUGAUCUUGAAGAAACAGGUGACAUGAGUUCUGGUGGAGAUCUCUCGGAAGAAACAGGAUCCCUGGGAGAUCACCCACCAUCUCAAGGAAGUCACCAACCUGAAGAAACAGAGAUCAAUGAGGAAGUGGUAAACAAUUCACCAGAAAGUUACCAUUUGGUCAGAGACAGAACAAGGAGGGAGAUUAAAGCUCCAAGACAUUUUGAUGUGGAAGGAUACUACAGUGAGUUCACUGAUGAUGAUGAAGAGUACUUUGAUGCGGAAGCCCUAGUCACCACAUUUGAUGGAGACACCAUUGAGCCGGCAAAUUAUCAAGAAGCUCUAAGAGAUGAUGAUUGGGAAUUGUGGAAGGGCGGCAUGGAUGAAGAAAUGGAUUCUCUGGUGAAAAAUCACACAUGGACUGUAGUCACUAAGCCUGCAGGACAGAGAGUCAUAGGCUGCAAGUGGAUUUUCAAGCGUAAGCCUGGAAUUCCUAGGGUUGAAAAGCCAAGAUUUAAAGCAAGGCUCGUUGCUAAAGGGUAUGCACAAAGAGAAGGAGUAGACUACACUGAUAUAUUCUCACAUGUGGUGAAACAUGUGUCUAUAAGGAUACUGCUAGCCAUUGUUGCAGAAGAGGACUAUGAACUUGAACAGUUAGACGUCAAAACCACAUUUCUUCAUGGAGAGCUAGAAGAAAAGAUUUACAUGGAAGCUCCAGAAGGUAUUGAAAGUCAAUUCAAGUCUGAUCAAGUGUGUCUCCUGAACAAGACCUUGUAUGGUCUGAAGCAGUCACCAAGGAGAUGGAAUCAAAAGUUUGACAGUUACAUGCUGGAAAUUGGUUUUGAAAGAAGUCCACGUGACAAUUGUGCAUACAUCAAGACAACGGAGGAUGGUUCUAAGGUCUACUUACUCUUAUAUGUCGAUGACAUGUUAGUUGUUGCGAGAGAUAUGAAAGUUAUCUCGGAGUUAAAGCAUAAACUAAGUGAGAAAUUUGAAAUGAAGGACAUUGGAGCUGCAAAGAAGAUAUUGGGCAUGGAGAUCUCUAGAGACAGAGCUAAGGGAACUCUCACUUUGUCUCAAGGAGAUUAUUUAAGCAAGGUACUGGAAGUCUACAAUAUGGAGCAAUGCAAGUCUGUUUUGACACCUCUAGGUGCUCACUUAAAAAUGCAUGCUGCAACAGAGCAACAAUUGCUCAAAGAUGAAGAAUACAUGAAGUCAGUACCUUACUCUAAUGCCGUGGGAAGCAUUAUGUACUCCAUGAUCGGAACAAGACCAGAUUUGGCGUAUUCUGUUGGUAUUAUCAGUUGGUUCAUGAGCAAACCGAUCAAGGAGCAUUGGUUGGGAGUUAAGUGGGUACUUAGGUACAUUAAGGGAAGUCUCAAGAUGAAGUUAUGUUACAAGAAAGGAGCAGACUUCAUACUUAGAGGAUACUGUGACUCAGACUAUGCUGCAAAUAUUGACAACAGAAGGUCAAUAAGUGGAAUGGUGUUCACACUUGGUGGAAGCACCAUAAAUUGGAGGUCAUGCUUACAGAAAGUAGUGGCUAUUUCUACUACUGAAGCCGAAUAUAUGUCUCUCAGUGAAGCUGUUAAGGAGGCAAUAUGGCUUAAGGGGUUGUUAAAAGAUUUUGGCUAUGAGCAAAAGACUGUGGAGAUCUUUUGUGAUUCUCAAAGUGCCAUAGCUUUGUCAAAGAACAAUGUGCAUCAUGACAGAACGAAGCACAUUGACAUAAAUUAAGUAUCACAAGAUUCGUGAAGUAAUUGCGGAUGGAGUUGUGGAAGUUCAGAAGAUAUCUACAUUGAUCAACCCUGCAGAUAUCUUCACCAAGAUAGUACCCGUCAGCAAGUUCAAGUCAGCUUUGGACUCGCUGCGUGUAAAGGCUGAGUAAUCAAACUCAGGACCGGGAAAGGAAUCCUAAACUAUAACAAGUCAAGAUCAAUCUCUCUAAGGUAUCAUAGCUUCUUCUGUCCCUGUUUCAUGUUCUUACUUUACUAGGUGGAGAUUUGUUGAGAAUUAGUAAAGAAGAACACAACAUAUGAAGAAGCUUGAGGAAGAAGUAAUGCCAGCAAUGCAAUGAGACACGUCAGACGCAGGACCAUAAGACUCGAGUAGCCGUUUGCGCUUGGUCACUAAAGCAAACGUUUGAAUGGCUAAAGCAACUCUUGUCUGGUUGUGGUAAAGUUACUCGCAGGAUAAGCUCUACCCAUUUGGAGCUAGAAGACAAAUGUGAGAGGCAACUUCCUGGAAGCUGCAAAGGAGCGUCUUGAGGACUCAACGGGAAGGAUCCAGAAGGAACCUAGGUUAAGUUCUCUAUGUCUAUUUAAGCUGAGCAUUGGAGAGAGAGAGGGUUAAGAAACGCAGAGACAUUCAAUUGGGAGUAAACUUGUAUUGAGUGUUCUUAGGGAAACAGAUAGUGAAAGAGAGUGAAUCUGAGUUAGCUUUGUAAAGGGCUGUGAGGGUGAGAAAUCUCUUUGUAAAUCUCAAAGGUUAUAGUGGAUUCCGAGAAAGAUUUCCCGGCCCAGACGUAGCACCGUUGGUGUGAACUGGGUUAACAAUCUCGUGUGUGUUCUGUUUUUCGUGUUAGCAAAGUUCUUCCAUUUAUUCUAAACACUCAAAGCUCUGUUCUUUUCAAGUUCUGAUUCUAAACGAAGGUAAAAUUCAUUACAAGCCUUGGUAGAAGUUGGUCUAAACUUCACAACAUAUAUAAACAAAACAAAAAGCAAUUGAUAUAUGAAGCAAAUUUAUAUGUCUUACUAUCGAGGCUUCUUCCAUUCCAUUCUACGGUAGAACUCUAUGUCCAAGUCAAAAACACAACCCAUAAAUCUGACGCCUGUAGAGCUUGCGCCCAGCUCUCAUCAUAACCCUUGUUCUCUUACUGUAACAUAUCAUCAUCACCAGAUACAACAUUAGAUUUAGAAAAUAAAAAUAAAUUAAUUAAUUAUAAAAAAAAGUAGAAGCAAUUCAUAUAAGUAUUCACAAGAAGAUAAAACCUUGAUCUCAAAUUCAUCAGCUAUCAUGAAUAUAAGCAUAACCAAUUCAUGUUUAGAGAUCAUAUGAUAGAAAAAACCUUAAGCUUUCAUAAAUGCAGCAUACAGAAAAUCAAAUACCGAGUCAUCUACCAAAGGUGUUCUCUAAAUCCCUAGAUUAGCAAUUAUCCCUAUCUAUUGUGGAUCCGUAUAGGAAAUAAAAACGAUUAAACGCUGAAAGAAGGAACGGAGCCAGAAUACGAAAGAUCAAUGAGAGGAGAAACGUACUUCAUGUUUGUUGACGGACGAGAAGUUUAUCAAGCAAAGAGGUAUU